Non-coding RNA from Dipodomys ordii (Ord's kangaroo rat), 58 nucleotides. Lineage: Eukaryota; Metazoa; Chordata; Mammalia; Rodentia; Heteromyidae. The record is from Rfam.
UGGCUCAGUGGUAGAGUGCUUGCCUUGCAUGCAUGAGGCCCUGGGUUCGAUUUCUCAG